GCGACGGAGACUUCUGAACCGUGUCAGGUCCUGGCGGAAGCAGCACUAAGGAAGCCCCUCCGGGUGCCGCAAGGGCGCCUGACCCGAGCUACCUGCAGGAGUAACGCCCGGAAGCUAUUAUUCAACGACAGGUGCACGG
RNAcentral lists this signal recognition particle RNA (139 nucleotides) under Thermoanaerobacteraceae bacterium. Its description in RNAcentral is "partial signal recognition particle sRNA large type". It matches the Rfam family "Bacterial large signal recognition particle RNA", at positions 125 to 256 of the family's 256-position model. From Rfam's summary of the family: The signal recognition particle (SRP) is a universally conserved ribonucleoprotein involved in the co-translational targeting of proteins to membranes. Archaeal SRP consists of a 7S RNA and homologues of the eukaryotic SRP19 and SRP54 proteins. Lineage: Bacteria; Bacillati; Bacillota; Clostridia; Thermoanaerobacterales; Thermoanaerobacteraceae. The record is from RNAcentral.